This 370-nucleotide ribosomal RNA is filed under the name uncultured bacterium. RNAcentral's name for it is "bacterial SSU rRNA". It matches the Rfam family "Bacterial small subunit ribosomal RNA", at positions 527 to 896 of the family's 1533-position model. The record is from RNAcentral.
GUAGGUGGCAAGCGUUGUCCGGAUUUAUUGGGCGUAAAGCGAACGCAGGCGGGAAGAUAAGCCAGCUGUGAAAGCCCUCGGCUCAACCGGGGAACGGCAACUGAAACUAUUUUUCUUGAGUGCAGAAGAGGAGAGUGGAACUCGAUGUGUAGCGGUGGAAUGCGUAGAUAUAUGGAAGAACACCAGUGGCGAAGGCGGCUCUCUGGUCUGUAACUGACGCUGAGGUUCGAAAGCAUGGGUAGCGAACAGGAUUAGAUACCCUGGUAGUCCAUGCCGUAAACGAUGAGUGCUAAGUGUUGGGAGGUUUCCGCCUCUCAGUGCUGCAGUAACGCAUUAAGCACNCCGCCUGGGGAGUACGACCGCAAGGUUA